RNAcentral lists this ribosomal RNA (891 nucleotides) under Rickenella minuta. Its description in RNAcentral is "LSU rRNA". It matches the Rfam family "Eukaryotic large subunit ribosomal RNA", at positions 69 to 944 of the family's 3401-position model. The record is from RNAcentral. Lineage: Eukaryota; Fungi; Basidiomycota; Agaricomycetes; Hymenochaetales; Rickenellaceae.
UAGGGAUUCCCCUAGUAACUGCGAGUGAAGCGGGAAAAGCUCAAAUUUAAAAUCUGGCGGUUCUGCCGUCCGAGUUGUAAUCUGGAGAAGUGUUUUCCGUGCUGGACCGUGUACAAGUCUCUUGGAACAGAGCGUCAUAGAGGGUGAGAAUCCCGUCUUUGACACGGACUACCAGUGCUUCUGUGAUACACUCUCAAAGAGUCGAGUUGUUUGGGAAUGCAGCUCAAAAUGGGUGGUAAAUGCCAUCUAAAGCUAAAUAUUGGCGAGAGACCGAUAGCGAACAAGUACCGUGAGGGAAAGAUGAAAAGCACUUUGGAAAGAGAGUUAAACAGUACGUGAAAUUGUUGAAAGGGAAACGCUUGAAGUCAGUCGCGUUGCUUAGGAUUCAGCCUUGCUUUUUUGCUUGGUGUACUUCCUGGGUGACGGGCCAACAUCGAUUUUGACCGGUGGAUAAAGUCGAGGGGAAUGUGGCUCCUUUGGGAGUGUUAUAGCCCUUUGUCGCAUGCAUCGGUUGGGAUCGAGGACCGCAGCACGCCUUUUUGGCCGGGGUUCGCCCACGUAACGUGCUUAGGAUGUUGGCAUAAUGGCUUUAAUCGACCCGUCUUGAAACACGGACCAAGGAGUCUAACAUGCCCGCGAGUGUUAGGGUGGAAAACCCUUGCGCGUAAUUAAAGUGAAAGUUGGGACCCUUGUCAUGGGGGGCACCGACGCCCGGCCUUGAACUUCUGUGACGGCGCCGCGGUAGAGCGUGUAUGUUGGGACCCGAAAGAUGGUGAACUAUGCCUGAAUAGGGCGAAGCCAGAGGAAACUCUGGUGGAGGCUCGUAGCGAUUCUGACGUGCAAAUCGAUCGUCAAAUUUGGGUAUAGGGGCGAAAGACUAAUCGAACCAUC